RNAcentral lists this ribosomal RNA (510 nucleotides) under uncultured bacterium. RNAcentral's name for it is "partial 16S ribosomal RNA". It matches the Rfam family "Bacterial small subunit ribosomal RNA", at positions 28 to 507 of the family's 1533-position model. The record is from RNAcentral.
GACGAACGCUGGCGGCGUGCUUAACACAUGCAAGUCGAACGAAGAGCGACGGAAGCUUGCUUCUAUCAAUCUUAGUGGCGAACGGGUGAGUAACGCGUAAUCAACCUGCCCUUCAGAGGGGGACAACAGUUGGAAACGACUGCUAAUACCGCAUACGAUCUAAUCUCGGCAUCGAGGAUGGAUGAAAGGUGGCCUCUACAUGUAAGCUAUCACUGAAGGAGGGGAUUGCGUCUGAUUAGCUAGCUGUAGGGGUAACGGCCCACCAAGGCGAUGAUCAGUAGCCGGUCUGGGAGGAUGAACGGCCACAUUGGGACUGAGACACGGCCCAGACUCCUACGGGAGGCAGCAGUGGGGAAUCUUCCGAAAUGGACGAAAGUCUGACGGAGCAACGCCGCGUGAGUGAUGACGGCCUUCGGGUUGUAAAGCUCUGUUAAUCGGGACGAAAGGCCUUCUUGCGAAUAGUGAGAAGGAUUGACGGUACCGGAAGAGAAAGCCACGGCUAACUACGUG